GUAACACGUAGUCAACCUGCCCUGGAGACAUGGACAACCCCGGGAAACUGGGAUUAAUCCGUGAUAGGUCAUCUCAUCUGGAAGGAGAGAUGGCUUAAAGGGAUGCGCGGGCUUCUUCUGCGUAUUUGCUCCAGGAUGGGACUGCGUCCGAUCAGGCUGUUGGCGGGGUAAUGGCCCACCAAGCCAGUAACCGGUACGGGCCUUGAGAGAGGUGGCCCGGAGAUGGACACUGAGAGAAGGGUCCAGGUCCUACGGGGCGCAGCAGGCGCGAAACCUUCGCAAUGCGCGCAAGCGUGACGAGGUUAAUCCGAGUGAUUUCCGCUGAGGAGACCUUUUGUCUGCUGUAAAUAGGCAGGCGAAUAAAGGGAGGGGCAGCCUGGUGUCAGCCGCCGGCGGUAAUACCAGCUCCUCGAGUGGUCGGGGCGAUUAUUGGGGCUAAAGCAUCCGUAGNCGGUUCCGUAAGUUCUCUGGUUAAUCCCAACGGCCCAACGGUUGAACUGCAAAAGAAACCGCCGGAACU
RNAcentral lists this ribosomal RNA (520 nucleotides) under uncultured archaeon. Its description in RNAcentral is "bacterial SSU rRNA". It matches the Rfam family "Archaeal small subunit ribosomal RNA", at positions 93 to 593 of the family's 1478-position model. The record is from RNAcentral.